Molecule: long non-coding RNA, 1913 nt
Filed under: Homo sapiens (human)
Lineage: Eukaryota; Metazoa; Chordata; Mammalia; Primates; Hominidae
Description: HSALNT0406345
Source: RNAcentral
CUGGACCACCUAGAACUGCCUCCUUCCAAGCGACACUGGGGCUGGCUCCCCAUCUGAGCCGUCUGGAGACCCUGUGGCUGGCAGGCGACGCCGUCCCCCCGCCCAGGUGCUCCCAGCCCCCAGACCUACUGCAGCCCGGGAGGGGCUGAGGGUGCGGUUCCCGCAGGGUCCAGGGUUCUUUCUGGCUCUUGGAAGAGUGUGUGCCCUCUGAUCCCCCCUAAAUCCCACAGGGCCCCACCCUCUCUGGGCCUUCCCCGUGGUUUGCCAGCAUGGGGGCCGGCCUGAAAUGGCCCUGAGAGGCCACGAGCCCAGCUGGCCCCUCUGUGUGUGCCCAGGCCAGGCCCUUGGGCAGCAGCUCAGGGUACACUGGUGCUGCUGCCGGGCCCCUGCCUUAUGACGGUGCCUUUGGGGUCAGGCAGUGGGUGUUGUUCAAGAGCAGCCUCGGGCCCUCCAUGUUGCACGCUGACACGGCCUUGGCCACAGCACCCUGUCGGCCCUCAUCACCCGGGCUGCCUUUGGGAGGGACAGAGUGUGGGCAGCGCUGGACCCGUGGGACCGUGUGCAGGGGAGCUGCUGCCACCCAAGGUCCCCAAGUCAGUUCUGCGGACUCACAGAUGACCACAGCCUGGGGGACUUAAAACAACAGACAUUUAUUCGAUCGCAGUUCUGGAGGCCAGAGGGCCAAGGGGGAGCAGGGCUGUGGAGAGCAUGACCCCCUUGUUAAACCACGUCUGCCUUUAUGCCUCGAUACACCACACAGAGAGAUGACGGGAGAUACCACCAAGAUGAGAUGCCAACCCGGGAGAGGCUCUGCAGGUCCCCUGGUGCCCACGUCUACCUGGCUUGUCCCCACAGGUGGGUUUUCUGAGACAAGGGGGCUUUUGGACACAGGUCUGUCCCCAGAGCCAGCCAGCAGCUCCAGAGAAGAGACAGCAGGUGCCCAGGACGAUGCGGCUUAGUUGCCAGGUUGCCACGAAACAUCCAAUAUUUGAAAGUGUUCUAUGGACCUCAAAGGGCAAGAGACACCUUAAAAUGUUUGCUGGAUGGCUGUAGGAGGGUAGAGCCCUGGUGGGCACACCUGGUGAGGCUCUGCUGCUCAUGUUCAUGGAGUCCCACGUCCACCAGGCCCUUUGAAUCUCGAGUUUCUGGCUUCAGAUGCCCCCAGGUUUCCAGAAGUCAAGAUUUCUAACAAAUGGACCCAAACCCCAAGCCAGCACCUGGAAGUGGCAGCAACACGGCUGUGUGGACCCCGGUGCUGGGAACCUUCUGGAGGCAGCUGGACACAGGGGCUGCCAGUGUGGAGAGGGACGCUGCUCAUUUUGACAUUUCAUCUGAAUAACGUUCCAAGUGUUCUAAUGAAAGCCUCUGCGCUCCCUUUGAAAUACUAGCAAUUACAAAGAUGAAUAAUUGCAUGAUAAAUAUUAAUUUGCACCAUCGUAAUGAGGCCCAGAAGCAUCCUGCUGCUAAGUAAGCUCCUCUCCUUCUCUGGGCCUCAGUUUCCCCAUCUAUAAAUCAGCCCAUCUUUAAGCCUUCUCCUGCUUCUCAACCUCAUGAUGCUGCCCUCACCCAGCGCUCCAAAGAUCAGAUAGGGGUAAGCAGUUCCACAGUGUGGCCUGUGGUGGACACGGAGAAGCCCCUGGGUGGUGGAAGCCAAGAGGAGGCACCUGACCCUGGAUGGAGGGUCAAGGAAGGCUGCAGGGGCCUGAGUGAUGGGUGCAGAAAUAAUAGGAGGCAGGCCGGGCCUGGUGGCUCACGCCUAUCAUCCCAGCACUUUGGGAGACUGAGGUGAGUAGAUCACCUGAGGUCAGGAGUUCAAGACCAGCCUGGCCAACAUGGUGAAACCCCGUGUCUACUAAAAAUACAAAAACUAGCCAGGUGUGGUGGCGGGCGCCUGUAAUCCCAGCUACUCAGGA